Molecule: ribosomal RNA, 177 nt
Filed under: uncultured bacterium
Lineage: Bacteria
Description: partial 16S ribosomal RNA
Rfam family: Bacterial small subunit ribosomal RNA
Source: RNAcentral
GAAGCCGGAAUUGCUAGUAAUGGCAGGUCAGCAUACUGCCGUGAAUACGUUCCCGGGCCUUGUACACACCGCCCGUCACACCAUGAGAGUUGGGAAUACCCGAAGCCUGUGAGCUAACGUAAGAGGCAGCAGUCGAAGGUAGAAUCAAUGAUUGGGGUGAAGUCGUAACAAGGUAUC